CUGGAAUCUCACCAUCCAUGGAGCCAAACAAGUAUUAUGUGGGUCAUGUGAAUCCCUUCAGCAAGAUGAAUGUGUGCCCUGAGAUGCCAAUUUGCCACGCCUGCUUUAUGGUGACGUUGCAUGUCUCUUCCAUUGCUUUUUGAAUAUCUGGAAAGUGCCAUUGCACAGGACUGGAAUAUAAGAGUGAAGUCAGAGUCCUUUCUCAAGAGUACUUCCGGU
Molecule: long non-coding RNA, 219 nt
Filed under: Homo sapiens (human)
Lineage: Eukaryota; Metazoa; Chordata; Mammalia; Primates; Hominidae
Description: HSALNT0380833
Source: RNAcentral